CUUUGCAGGGGUUGGUUGUGCUCAGCUUGGGGCAUGAGCAUGGUGGCAUCGUGGGACACUGUCUCAGUCUGUGACUUGAAGGUUAUGAGCUCGGGGAAGAGACAGUUAAAGCUUCCUCACGCCAGCGAGAUGAGUUGUACCACACAGCGCCCAUGCCAGUUCAUCAGUCUGGAUGGAGCUGAGACACUUACCGGCUGUGCCAGGCAGCGCCAGACACCUCUGGAAGCCCCUGACUAGGACCCCAAAUUUAGAUUCGUGCUGCAGCCUGGGGAUGUUUUGACGUCUGCCUGGCUACGGGGAAAAGCGCACUGCACACAGCCCCUAAGACAAGACAGAGCUCUCAGGGCUGAGAGUCUGAGGAAACCGGACCUGGCAGGGCUGCUCAGAUAUUCAGCUUCCUGUGGUGAAUGGAGCCGCCCACGUCACCAAUGGUCAGCAGGCUCCAGGAUGACUAUCUCUGUUAUCUAGUACCCUACCUCUGUGACAUGUGAAGAACCCAAUCUGGUUUCCAGUGUCACAGCAGAGCCCGACGGAUGCCCCAUUCUUCAAUGUCUGCACUCCCUUAACAAUUGGAUCUGUUUUCGUUUGUGGUUCUUGGCAUUUAUCAAGACUCUAAUGACUAAAUCUGAAAACAGCGUUGAUAACACAAUUCAUAAAUUAGCUUUUUGAGCUAUCAUUAUGAUGUCGUUUCCUCUUUUUUUGUGGCCAAAAAUGUGUUCUGUCUUGCCUUUGCAUCGUGAGACCCAAGGCAGAAGUGUCCAGACAACUAACUAGGAGGUAACUCAAGCUGCUGCGUUUGAAAGCUGUGACUUCACUGAGGGGGAAGCUGUAGAGAUGAAGACCCUUCCAUGGUAAAGUAUGAGUGCAUCUGGACCAUGGGAAUAACAUGUCUUUGGACAAGGCAAUGGAUGGUUCUUGUUGAUACCACCUGGUUGCUAUUGGGUGAAUCUCUGGAAUAAGCACUUUGCUAACACACAGGGUCCUGGAAGGCAUAGGGGUCUUGAGUACACUGCUCCUAGGGGCAGCAGUGAUCUGGACACAGGGAGCAGAGGAGGCCCUCUGCUUCUACUGGAACCAUCAUUCCAUGCACAGAAAGGGUCUGUGUUGGACUUGGCUGUAAUGCUUCCUGUCUACAGGGAUGGCGUGUUCCUGGAGGAACACUGAAGUCAGCGAAGACAGCACAACUCUUCCUCAGAGUUUGGAUCAUUCUGAACUACAUGGAAUUCUGUUCAAGUCCAGGAGGAGUGGCUCAAAGCGAGGCUGUGAUUAAGUGGGUUGAAGACAAAUUAGGAUCGUAUUUUAUUUAACCAGAAGAAAUGGCAGCACAGUGGAUUUCGUGUUCUUUGGAAAUCUGUCCAGUCAAUGCUGGUAUUGAAAGGAAGGGGCAGAGAAGACACUUCCGGACAAGCAAAAGCAGAUGUGGACUUGGCUUUGUGAGUCAUGGCAGGGAGGACCCAGCACAGUAGUGAUGGUCUCUGGAAACUUCUAGACAAACAAAUGUGGGUGUCCUUUGUCAGAUCCCUGUGAGUGGGUACUGCAGAAGACUUCUGGUGUUUUCUGUGGAUAAAUGCUCACACAAAGCUCUUUAUUACUGUAAUACAAUCACACUACAACAUGCUUUAUAACUUUCAUUUGUUUUAAUAGUUGCAUUAGUAACUUUGCUCUUGCCUGAAUCCUAA
Peromyscus maniculatus bairdii (prairie deer mouse) is the source of this 1679-nucleotide non-coding RNA. NCBI's taxonomy places the organism in Eukaryota, Metazoa, Chordata, Mammalia, Rodentia, Cricetidae. The record is from RefSeq and is a predicted model, not a curated record.